RNAcentral lists this ribosomal RNA (254 nucleotides) under uncultured bacterium. RNAcentral's name for it is "partial 16S ribosomal RNA". It matches the Rfam family "Bacterial small subunit ribosomal RNA", at positions 524 to 776 of the family's 1533-position model. The record is from RNAcentral.
UACGUAGGGUGCAAGCGUUGUCCGGAAUUAUUGGGCGUAAAGAGCUCGUAGGCGGUCUGUCGCGUCGGAUGUGAAAACCCAGGGCUCAACCCUGGGCCUGCAUUCGAUACGGGCAGACUAGAGUUCGGUAGGGGAGACUGGAAUUCCUGGUGUAGCGGUGAAAUGCGUAGAUAUCUGGAGGAAUACCGGUGGCGAAGGCGGCAUCCUGGACCGGCAUUGACGCUGAGUGAGCGAAAGCCAGGGGAGCAAACGGG